UCCAGACUCCUACGGGAGGCAGCAGUGGGGGAUAUUGCACAAUGGGGGAAACCCUGAUGCAGCGACGCCGCGUGAGUGAAGAAGUAUUUCGGUAUGUAAAGCUCUAUCAGCAGGGAAGAAAAAAGACGGUACCUGACUAAGAAGCCCCGGCUAACUACGUGCCAGCAGCCGCGGUAAUACGUAGGGGGCAAGCGUUAUCCGGAUUUACUGGGUGUAAAGGGAGCGUAGACGGCAAUACAAGUCGGAAGUGAAAUACCCGGGCUCAACCUGGGAACUGCUUUGGAAACUGUAUGGCUGGAGUGCUGGAGAGGUAAGCGGAAUUCCUAGUGUAGCGGUGAAAUGCGUAGAUAUUAGGAGGAACACCAGUGGCGAAGGCGGCUUACUGGACAGUAACUGACGUUGAGGCUCGAAAGCGUGGGGAGCAAACAGGAUUAGAUACCCCCGUAUC
This 448-nucleotide ribosomal RNA is filed under the name uncultured bacterium. RNAcentral's name for it is "bacterial SSU rRNA". It matches the Rfam family "Bacterial small subunit ribosomal RNA", at positions 330 to 794 of the family's 1533-position model. The record is from RNAcentral.